This 311-nucleotide ribosomal RNA is filed under the name uncultured bacterium. RNAcentral describes it as "bacterial SSU rRNA". It matches the Rfam family "Bacterial small subunit ribosomal RNA", at positions 28 to 341 of the family's 1533-position model. The record is from RNAcentral.
GACGAACGCUGGCGGCGUGCUUAACACAUGCAAGUCGAAGCGGUAAGGCCCUUUCGGGGGUACACGAGCGGCGAACGGGUGAGUAACACGUGGGUGACCUGCCCUCAGCUCUGGGAUAAGCCCGGGAAACUGGGUCUAAUACCGGAUAUGACUUCACGACGCAUGUUGUGGGUGGAAAGCCUUGUGCGGCUGAGGAUGGGCCCGCGGCCUAUCAGCUUGUUGGUGGGGUGAUGGCCUACCAAGGCGACGACGGUAGCCGGCCUGAGAGGGCGACCGGCCACACUGGGACUGAGAUACGGCCCAGACUCCUA